AAUAUUGUCAGAGAAGAAACACGCGGAUUAAAUUAAAGGUUAUAGAAAAGUAUUCAGAGUGGUUUUUGUUUUCCCGAAAUAAUAAGUUCCCUCGGUCAUAACAUCAGCAUUUAUUGGAACGACGCAACGCAUCAAUAACAAAAGCCAAUAUAAUAAAUUUAAUAAAACCUCUCUCAAUAACAGAGUUGUGUUAAAAUCGCAUAUCUCCGGGUAUCAGCGAACCAACACGAGGAUCCGAUGGUCCUGGGACAGAAAGUGGAGCUUGCGUACUAUUGGCAUUCAAUGUUCCGAAUACCAGAACACCUUGUUGUCUAUAAAUAUAGAAAUAAAGUGUGAACAAUUAAAAA
Long non-coding RNA from Toxorhynchites rutilus septentrionalis, 347 nucleotides. RefSeq lists it as uncharacterized. The record is from RefSeq and is a predicted model, not a curated record. NCBI's taxonomy places the organism in Eukaryota, Metazoa, Arthropoda, Insecta, Diptera, Culicidae. The transcript has 2 exons.